RNAcentral lists this ribosomal RNA (955 nucleotides) under uncultured bacterium. RNAcentral describes it as "bacterial SSU rRNA". It matches the Rfam family "Bacterial small subunit ribosomal RNA", at positions 546 to 1501 of the family's 1533-position model. The record is from RNAcentral.
CGGAAUUACUGGGCGUAAAGCGUACGCAGGCGGUCUGUUAAGUCAGAUGUGAAAUCCCCGGGCUUAACCUGGGAACUGCAUUUGAAACUGGCAGGCUAGAGUCUCGUAGAGGGGGGUAGAAUUCCAGGUGUAGCGGUGAAAUGCGUAGAGAUCUGGAGGAAUACCGGUGGCGAAGGCGGCCCCCUGAACGAAGACUGACGCUCAGGUACGAAAGCGUGGGGAGCAAACAGGAUUAGAUACCCUGGUAGUCCACGCUGUAAACGAUGUCGAUUUGAAGGUUGUGGUCUUGAGCCGUGGCUUUCGGAGCUAACGCGUUAAAUCGACCGCCUGGGGAGUACGGCCGCAAGGUUAAAACUCAAAUGAAUUGACGGGGGCCCGCACAAGCGGUGGAGCAUGUGGUUUAAUUCGAUGCAACGCGAAGAACCUUACCUACUCUUGACAUCCAGAGAACUGAGCAGAGAUGCUUAGGUGCCUUCGGGAACUGUGAGACAGGUGCUGCAUGGCUGUCGUCAGCUCGUGUUGUGAAAUGUUGGGUUAAGUCCCGCAACGAGCGCAACCCUUAUCCUUUGUUGCCAGCGAUUCGGUCGGGAACUCAAAGGAGACUGCCGGUGAUAAACCGGAGGAAGGUGGGGAUGACGUCAAGUCAUCAUGGCCCUUACGAGUAGGGCUACACACGUGCUACAAUGGCGCAUACAAAGAGAAGCGAUCUCGCGAGAGUCAGCGGACCUCAUAAAGUGCGUCGUAGUCCGGAUUGGAGUCUGCAACUCGACUCCAUGAAGUCGGAAUCGCUAGUAAUCGUGGAUCAGAAUGCCACGGUGAAUACGUUCUCGGGCCUUGUACACACCGCCCGUCACACCAUGGGAGUGGGUUGCAAAAGAAGUAGGUAGCUUAACCUUAGGGAGGGCGUUUACCACUUUGUGAUUCAUGACUGGGGUGAAGUCGUAACAAGGUAACC